AACGAACGCUGGCGGCGUGGCUAAGGCAUGCAAGUCGAACGGAUCUAUCCAACGGGUAACUGAAGGGUAGAUUAGUGGCGAACGGGUGAGGAAUACAUGGACAACGUACCCUGGACACGGGAUAGCGGCGGGCCGCAAGGCUCUUUAGCGAAAGUGCCGGUAAUACCCGAUGAUCCCGCAUGGUCGCAUGAUCGUGUGGGCAAAGCUCCGACGGUCUGGGAUCGGCAUGCCCUAUCAGCUAGUUGGUGAGGUAACGGCUCACCAAGGCGGCGACGGGUACCGGCGUGAGAGCGUGACCCGGCACAUCGGAACUGA
This 315-nucleotide ribosomal RNA is filed under the name uncultured bacterium. RNAcentral's name for it is "bacterial SSU rRNA". It matches the Rfam family "Bacterial small subunit ribosomal RNA", at positions 29 to 322 of the family's 1533-position model. The record is from RNAcentral.